ACGCCCCCGCCUCCGCCUGAGCUUCCUCUCCUCGCUCGCGGAUCUGCCACGGCGCGGCGCUGCACCACCACUCCGCUCGGAGGUGCUGCCACGGAUCGCCUGGAUCUCCAAGGAGCCAACAUCCCGCGCCCUCUGCUCAAAUCCUAGCGACUGGGGCAAGCAGCAGCAAAGGCUGCCAGAUCGUGGUUUUUCUCGGCAGGAGAAGGUGACGUUUGAGAGGGCGGCGACCCAGGAGGAGGAGGAGAGGCUGCGGUACCUCUAGUUCGUACAGCAGGUGGCGGCGCAGGCGCUGGUGAUGGCCGCUCCGCCCCGGCGUCGACCACAUCGAGGGCACCGUCAAGGCUGUCGUGGGAUCUUAAGUGAAGUUGCUGGGGUUGGUGCAGGGCAAAAUGUGCCACAGGUGGAAUCAGCUGGACCGGUGGGGGCUUAACCGAUGGAAUUAGCAAUCAUCUGUCUAUGACUCGAUGGAAUUUGAUCAAACAGUUUCAUUUGGCGCAGCCAUGUGCGUCUAUUCAGGACUCUUUAUGAGAUAUAUGGAGAACAAAGAACCGGAGGCUCAGCAGUAAAAGAAGUGUAUAAACCUGCAUUUAUUUACCUUCCCAAUAAGAGUGACCUGCAGCAGCAGCAGCUUUACCUGCCGGAGUCUUAUUUAUGUUGUAUCUAGUGGCACAUGUAAGCAUAUGUAUGGCCAUAUGGCACAAUUCACUCACCGCCAAAACCUGUGUGCAUACAUUGUGAUUUUUUAUUUGGAUCCACUCCCAAUUCGACGUGAUA
Molecule: long non-coding RNA, 774 nt
Organism: Panicum virgatum (switchgrass)
Lineage: Eukaryota; Viridiplantae; Streptophyta; Magnoliopsida; Poales; Poaceae
Exons: 5
Source: RefSeq, a predicted model, not a curated record